This 376-nucleotide ribosomal RNA is filed under the name uncultured bacterium. Its description in RNAcentral is "bacterial SSU rRNA". It matches the Rfam family "Bacterial small subunit ribosomal RNA", at positions 524 to 898 of the family's 1533-position model. The record is from RNAcentral.
GACGGAGGAUGCAAGUGUUAUCCGGAAUCACUGGGCGUAAAGCGUCUGUAGGUGGUUCGAAAAGUCCACUGUUAAAGAUUGAGGCUUAACUUCAAAAAUGCCGUGGAAACUUUCAAACUAGAGUAUGGUAGGGGUAGAGGGAAUUUCCAGUGGAGCGGUGAAAUGCGUAGAUAUUGGAAAGACCACCGAUGGCGAAGGCACUCUACUGGGCCAUUACUGACACUGAGAGACGAAAGCUAGGGGAGCAAAUGGGAUUAGAUACCCCAGUAGUCCUAGCUGUAAACGAUGGAUACUAGAUGUUGUGUGUAUUGACCCAUGCAGUAUCGUAGCUAACGCGUUAAGUAUCCCGCCUGGGAAGUAUGCUCGCAAGAGUGAA